UAAACGUGUUGCUUCGACCCUCUUCAAAUCCUGAGGAUUUUCUUCUUCUCUUUUUCUUUUCUGGUCUUUCUUUCCUCUUCUUCUGCAGGGUGAUAAGUGUUCACUUGUUUUAUUUGCAUGCACAACACCAGGUGACUGUGCGUACCAAAACAUAUGCCUCGUCUCUUCCCGCCCUUGUCUGACAAACUUCAUUUGGAAAAUUAUCAUUUAGCUUGUUCAAUGCACCGUGUUACAAUGACAUGAAUCUUGAAUUUUUUCUUUAUGGUAUCAUUGGUUCGGAUCAACAUGUCAGUGCUCAUUAACUUUUCAUCACGAGAAAUCUCGCGAUUAAGAAAAGGUCGAGGCACAGAUGGGCGGAAUUCGGAAAACGAAAAGGACGCUAGUCAGAUCUUCGUAAAGCCAUCCAUCUUUUCAUGGGGAAUUUUGCUAGUAGCGCAGUCAACGAGGUGCACAACAAGUUUAUUGAAGCAUCAAGGGACCUCUUCGCAAUGCAUAAGGCACAGGUCGGCCACACCGAUCUUGAGCUGAAAAUUCUUUGAACAUAGCUUCAAUUUGUUUUGAUUUAUGGGAGACCUUGUUUAUAUGUUUCAGUCAAUUAGGACUAAUAAUGCCCUAAGGAGAGGGCAAUUGGAUUCACUGUACUUUCCAGAGAGGAUAAUGACACAAACGGUCACUGAAUUUUGACCCAAUGUGCAAUUCGGUCCUUGAACUUUUAAUAUGUUCAAUGUAGUCCCUAAACUUUAGCCUAAUGUUUAAUAUGAUUUCUGAACUUUUAAUUUAUUCAA
This is a long non-coding RNA of Syzygium oleosum, 785 nucleotides long. RefSeq lists it as uncharacterized. Lineage: Eukaryota; Viridiplantae; Streptophyta; Magnoliopsida; Myrtales; Myrtaceae. The transcript has 2 exons. The record is from RefSeq and is a predicted model, not a curated record.